Molecule: ribosomal RNA, 435 nt
Filed under: uncultured bacterium
Lineage: Bacteria
Description: partial 16S ribosomal RNA
Rfam family: Bacterial small subunit ribosomal RNA
Source: RNAcentral
AGCGAACGCUGGCGGCAGGCUUAACACAUGCAAGUCGAGCGGGCACUUUCGGGUGUCAGCGGCGGACGGGUGAGGAACGCGUGGGAACGUGCCCUCUGGUUCGGAAUAACUCAGGGAAACUUGAGCUAAUACCGGAUACGCCCUUUUGGGGAAAGGCUUGCUGCCGGAGGAUCGGCCCGCGUCUGAUUAGCUAGUUGGUGAGGUAACGGCUCACCAAGGCGACGAUCAGUAGCUGGUCUGAGAGGAUGAUCAGCCACACUGGGACUGAGACACGGCCCAGACUCCUACGGGAGGCAGCAGUGGGGAAUAUUGGACAAUGGGCGCAAGCCUGAUCCAGCCAUGCCGCGUGAGUGAUGAAGGCCUUAGGGUUGUAAAGCUCUUUUAUCCGGGACGAUAAUGACGGUACCGGAGGAAUAAGCCCCGGCUAACUUCGUG